This 253-nucleotide ribosomal RNA is filed under the name uncultured bacterium. RNAcentral's name for it is "partial 16S ribosomal RNA". It matches the Rfam family "Bacterial small subunit ribosomal RNA", at positions 524 to 776 of the family's 1533-position model. The record is from RNAcentral.
UACGAAGGGGGCUAGCGUUGCUCGGAAUCACUGGGCGUAAAGCGCACGUAGGCGGCUUCUUAAGUCAGGGGUGAAAUCCUGGGGCUCAACCCCAUAACUGGCCUUGAUACUGAGGAGCUUGAGUCCGGGAGAGGUGAGUGGAACUCCGAGUGUAGAGGUGAAAUUCGUAGAUAUUCGGAAGAACACCAGUGGCGAGGGGGGCUCACUGGCCCGGUACUGACGCUGGGGUGCGAAAGCGUGGGGAGCAAACAGG